GGAUAACACCUGGAAACAGAAGUUAAUACCGGAUAACAACACUAGACGCAUGUCUAGAGUUUGAAAGAUGGUUCUGCUAUCACUCUUGGAUGGACCUGCGGUGCAUUAGCUAGUUGGUAAGGUAACGGCUUACCAAGGCAAUGAUGCAUAGCCGAGUUGAGAGACUGAUCGGCCACAUUGGGACUGAGACACGGCCCAAACUCCUACGGGAGGCAGCAGUAGGGAAUCUUCCACAAUGGACGAAAGUCUGAUGGAGCAACGCCGCGUGAGUGAAGAAGGGUUUCGGCUCGUAAAGCUCUGUUGGUAGUGAAGAAAGAUAGAGGUAGUAACUGGCCUUUAUUUGACGGUAAUUACUUAGAAAGUCACGGCUAACUACGUGCCAGCAGCCGCGGUAAUACGUAGGUGGCAAGCGUUGUCCGGAUUUAUUGGGCGUAAAGCGAGUGCAGGCGGUUCAAUAAGUCUGAUGUGAAAGCCUUCGGCUCAACCGGAGAAUUGCAUCAGAAACUGUUGAACUUGAGUGCAGAAGAGGAGAGUGGAACUCCAUGUGUAGCGGUGGAAUGCGUAGAUAUAUGGAAGAACACCAGUGGCGAAGGCGGCUCUCUGGUCUGCAACUGACGCUGAGGCUCGAAAGCAUGGGUAGCGAACAGGAUUAGAUACCCUGGUAGACCAUGCCGUAAACGAUGAGUGAUAAGUGUUGGGA
RNAcentral lists this ribosomal RNA (700 nucleotides) under uncultured bacterium. RNAcentral's name for it is "bacterial SSU rRNA". It matches the Rfam family "Bacterial small subunit ribosomal RNA", at positions 141 to 828 of the family's 1533-position model. The record is from RNAcentral.